CGUCCCCUGCGGUGCAGGUGACCGUUCCCGAACCGUUCCCGAAAUCCUCUGAACCUAUAAGCUCAGUCUCGGGGACCGACCGUCGGUGCUGGUGUGCAAGCCCGCCUCGUAGCGGGAAGCCUGAAGGCACCAUGAAGGUCCCCACUUGAACCACACGGUUCAAGGCCACGGGAGCGGCACGGCAUUCGCGGAGGGCGC
Thiotrichales bacterium SG8_50 is the source of this 198-nucleotide non-coding RNA. The record is from Rfam. Lineage: Bacteria; Pseudomonadati; Pseudomonadota; Gammaproteobacteria; Thiotrichales.